Podarcis lilfordi (Lilford's wall lizard) is the source of this 7282-nucleotide non-coding RNA. The record is from the annotation of a GenBank genome assembly. Lineage: Eukaryota; Metazoa; Chordata; Lepidosauria; Squamata; Lacertidae.
AAAAACCCCAUUAUACAUGAAACAGCCUUGCUUUUCAAGGAAGAAAAAGAAAGAAGUGAAAUAAAAGAGAAAGAAUGGGGAAGAGAGAAAAAAAACCACACAUAUGAAGAGAGAAAAGAAAAAGAAAAAAGCACAGAAAAGGACAUAUAUGAAGAAGAGAGAGGGACGACAUAACCAGAACUCUGUAAGACCCAUGAAUAAAUUUGAAUAAAUUGCCCUUCCAGAAGGUUUUUUUUAAAAAAAACCAUACCAUUUAUCGUAUUUUUCACUUGCUAAUUUCAUGUGCUUAUUUCCAGCAUUUAAGUGUUCCGGUUUUUGAACAUUUUUCGGAAGCCGAACGUCCGACGUGGCUGUCGGCUAUUGUUUCCGGGGUGCCUGCACCAAUCCGUGUUUGGUUUUCAAACACUUCGGAAGUCAAACUGGAACGGAUUAAGUUUGGCGCUAUUCUUUUUACUAUUUAUUUUGCGUUUUUGUUUUUGAGGCUUUUUCUGUUCAUUUGUUUUGAAAUGUUAAAAUGAUUAAUGACCAUUAGAUCCAGUCAUGGCCGACUCUGGCACUCAUCUCGCUUUACUGGCCUAGGGAGCCGGUGUACAGCUUCCGGGUCCUGUGGCCAGCAGGACUAAGCCGCUUCUGGCGGACCAGAGCAGCGCACGGAAACGCCGUUUACCUUCCCGCCGGAGUGGUACCUAUUGAUCUACUUGCACUUUGACGUGCUUUCGAACUGCUAGGUUGGCAGGAGCAGGGACCGAGCAACGGGAGCUCACCCCGUCAUUGCGGGGAUUCGAACCGCCAACCUUCUGAUCGGCAAGCCCUAGGCUCUGUGGUUUAACCCACAGCGCCACCCGCGUCCCAUAAGCAUUAAAAACAUUAAUAAAAUUUAAAGAGAAAGAAAAAUAGGGACGUCCUAAGGAAAAGCUGGACAUUCCAGGAUUAAGUCAGAAACUCAGAUGGCUUCUCUAAAUCAGGGAUGCCCCUGGAAAAUAGGGACACCUGAAGGGUCUGACACCUGCUCAAAACCAAUACCAGGAAGGUGAAGCAUUUCUCAAGCUCUCUCUCUCUCUCUCUCUCUGUGUGUGUGUGUGUGUGUGUGUGUGUGUUAGAGCUUCCAGAAAAGAGAAUAUAUAUAUAUAUAUAUAUAUAUAUAUAUAUAUGGAAUUUCAGAAAAAGAGAGUGCCACAGAGCCAGUGUGGCCCUGCAGACAUCUCUGACAUCUUCAUGCCAAGGGAGCAUUGGACGUUGACUAUUUUCACGGACUAGUAACACACCCUGUAGAAUUCUGCCCGUUAUGUUUUAUCUGCGCAAUCGGAAUGAAUUUCAGGAACCGAAAACGUCGUAUUGAAAAACAUGACUUUCUAGCCGUCUGGCCCCAAAACAGCAACAACGCAUUUUAUUGUGGUGACUGUAAAGUGUGUGCAGGACCCCAAAAAGAGGACACGACCGGGAAUUCCCGGGUUAAUGGCAACCCUAGUUUGAUAUUUCCCAUCCAUUGAUUAUAAACACUGCAGUGCUGAUAAAAAGGAUGGGGUUUGUAUCUAGUGCUAGAGCUACUCAAGAGACCUGUUCUUCAUCCACUUUAAAAUCCCACCUGAAAACCUUCUCUGUUCUGCCAAGAUUGCGAAUACAGUGGUACCUCGGGUUACAUACGCUUCAGGUUACAUACGCUUCAGGUUACAGACUCCGCUAACCCAGAAAUAUUGCUUCAGGUUAAGAACUUUGCUUCAGGAUGAGAACAGAAAUUGUGCUCCGGUGGCACGGCAGCAGCAGGAGGCCCCAUUAGCUAAAGUGGUGCUUCAGGUUAAGAACAGUUUUAGGUUAAGAACGGACCUCUGGAACGAAUUAAGUACGUAACCAGAGGUACCACUGUACAUCCUUUGACAAUCGUUAACUGAUGUCUGUUUUGAACUUUUAAAAGGUUUUUUCAUUUCAUAGUUUAUGUUUUUAUGGUUGCAAGCUGCUAUGAUGCAUAUUUUAAUGACACAGCAGUAUGCAAAUGUUUUUAUAAUAAUAAUAAUUUAUUAUUUAUACCCCGCUCAUCUGGCUGAGUUUCCCCACCCACUCUGGGCGGCUCCCAAUCAAGUAUUAAAAACAAUACAGCGUUAAAUGUUAAAACUUCCCUGAACAGGGCUGCCUUCAGAUGCUUUUUAAAGAUAGGAUAGCUACUUAUUUCUUUCACAUCUGAAGGGAGGGCGUUCCACAGGGUGGGUGCCACUACCGAGAAGGCCCUCUGCCUGGUUCCCUGUAACCUUACUUCUCACAAUGAGGGAACCGCCAGAAGCCCCUCGGCGCUGGACCUCAGUGUCCGGGUUGAACGAUGGGGGUGGAAACGCUCCUUCAGGUAUACAGGACCGAGGCCGUUUAGGGCUUUCAAGGUCAGCACCAACACUUUGAAUUGUGCUCGGAAACGUUCUGGGAGCCAAUGCAGAUCUCUCAGAACUGGUGUUAUGUGGUCCUGGCGGCCACAUUUUAUAAAUGAACCUAAUUUUAGUCAUGGCCAUUAACAUCAAUGGGUCAAUGAUGUGGUGGAUUUGUAUUUUGCCCGCCAACAUGAACGUUUCUAGGGUGGUGCAUAACCAUUGCUUCCUACAGGGACUUAUGGAAGUCAUAAGACAAAACAUCUGCAGGGCAUUAAAUUUGCAGCAGGCUGGUUGGAGCCGUUGCUCUGGCUAAGCAAAGGCCGAAAUCCAACACUUCUGUAUUUUGGAUCCCAUCACUUCAGUUUCCCGAUGAAGCAAAACCCCAUUCUUCCACCUGUUCCUACUUGCGUGGACUUUGUGUAGCCUUGGACGGUGCAAUGUAGCCGGCUGUAAAGCAACCCUAAUGACCCGAUUAUCUUUAAAUCGCCGGAAAAUUUUGAGCAAGAGAACUCGGUCCGAGUUCGUUCUCGUUUUCUCUGCCGCUCUGGAAAAGGCGCCAACCCUCCCAGGUCGGCACUAGGAAUUGCUCUCCUACUUAUCUCUCACGUGCAGUUUGGAUUCCAAAGCUCAAGCAAGAUAAUUCAGGACCUUGAACUCCCAUGAGAUAUACAUAUCCUCCCUUCGCCUUGACUGCGAGAAGAACCCUAAAACCCCCUUUUAAAAUCCCAGUCUAAUUUGGGGAGAUUUAUGACACAACAUUGAUAGCAGAAAGUGAGGAGGAAUUAAAGAACCUUUUAAUGAGGGUGAAAGAGGAGAGCGCAAAAGAUGGUCUGAAGCUCAACGUCAAAAAAACGAAGAUCAUGGCCACUGGUCCCAUCACCUCCUGGCAAAUAGAAGGGGAAGAAAUGAAGGCAGUGAGAGAUUUUACUGUCUUGGGCUCCAUGAUCGCUGCAGAUUAAAAGACGCCUGCUUCUUGGGAGAAAAGCAAUGACAAACCUAGACAGCAUCUUAAAAAGCAGAGAAACCACCUUGCCAAGAAAGGUCCGUAUAGUUAAAGUUAUGGUUUUCCCAGCAGUGAUGUAUGGAAGUGAGAGCUGGACCAUCAAGAAGGCUGAUCGCCGAAGAAUGGAUGCUUCCAGCUCCAGGGAGUCCGGGGAGUCACGAAGAGUCGGACACGACAAAACGACUAAACAACAACAACAACAACAACAAAUGACGCUGUGUUUUAAGAGUUGUGUUAUCUCCUCCUGGUUGAUAAGGUACACUUCUGAAUUCCAGUUGCUAAGGAAUCCCAAGUGAAGAGAUUAUUAUUAUUAUUAUUAUUAUUAUUAAGGACUUACAGGUGCAUAGUGUUCCCGAGCCUUCCUCUUCUGACUUAAAGCAGCAUAUUUAUUUUUUUAAAAAAGGGAGGGCUGAGUGCUUUGCAUGUGCAAAAGUGAUUUUUUUAGACAAUAGUACCUUUUCUUUGGGAAGCGGGUGGCGCUGUGGGUUAAACCACAGAGCCUAGAACUUGCCAAUCAGAAGGUCGGCAGUUCGACUCCCCGCAACAGGGUGAGCUCCCGUUGCUCGGUCCCUGCUCCUGCCAACCUAGCAGUUCGAAAGCACGUCAAAGUGCAAGUGGAUCAAUAGGUACCGCUCCGGCGGGAAGGUAAACGGCGUUUCCGUGCGCUGCUCUUGUUCGCCAGAAGCGGCUUAGUCCUGCUGGCCACAUGACCCAGAAGCUGAACGCCGGCUCCCUCGGCCAGUAAAGCGAGAUGAGCGCCUCAACCCCAGAGUCGGCCAUGACUGGACCUAAUGGUCAGGGUCCCCUUUACCUUUUCUUUUAAAAGCACAUCUCACAGAAAAAACGAUAGAAUUGCAUUUCUUGUGUCCCCCUUUCUCAUCAGAAGAGGUCACUGUUGCACUUUGGAUGAUAUUUCUGUUCAGUUUAGCCUCCCCUUCCCCCGAAGAAUUUCAAUUCAGAACAGUCCUUUUUAGGCAGCCCUUAUAAGGUCCUUAACUCCACCCAGGUGGCCUUCCCACACUUCUGUUCAGAUCCUGUUUUGCUAGUGAGAGCUGGACCAUAAAGAAGGCUGAUCGCCGAAGAAUGGAUGCUUUUGAAUUCUGGUGCUGGAGGAGACUCUUGAGAGUCCCAUGGACUGUAAGAAGAUCAAACUUCUCCAUUCUGAAGGAAACCAGCCCUGAGUACUCACUGGAAGGACAGAUCCUGAAGCUGAGGCUCCAAGACUUUGGCCACCUCAUGAGAAGAGAAGACUCCCUGGAAAAGACCCUGAUGUUGGGAAAGAUGGAGGGCCCAAGGAGAAGGGACGACAGAGGGCGAGAUGGUGGGACAGUGUUCUCGAAGCUACCAGCAUGAGUUUGACCAAACUGCAGGAGGCAGGGGAAGACAGGAGUGCCUGGCGUUCUCUGGUCCAGGGGGCCACAAAGAGUGGGAUACAACUAAACAACUAAACAACAAAGUUAACUCCACCUUUCUCUGUGUCAUUUACUGCUGGCUUCCUCCUGUCAUUUAAGCUAAAAUGAUGAUUAGUGAACCCCACGAGAAAGAAUCAUGGGAAGUGUAGUUCGUUAAGGGUGCUGUUAGGAGACAUGGGGAAGGGAAUAGGCGUCUCAUGAGCAUGAGACGCUUAAUCUCAGGGUCGUGGGUUUGAGUCCGACUUUGGGCAAAAGAUUACUGCAUUCCAGAGGGUUAGACUAGAUGACUCCAGGAGUCCCUUCCAGCUCUACAAUUCUGUGGUUCUAAUCCUGCAGGGGCAGAGACUGCCUUGUUUUGAUUGUAUGUAAGCUGUUCCGGGAGGGACGCGGGUGGCGCUGUGGGUUAAACCACAGAGCCUAGGAACUGCUGAUCAGAAGGUCGGCGGUUCGAAUCCCGCGACGGGGUGAACUCCUGUUGUUUGGUCCCUGCUCCUGCCAACCUAGCAGUUCGAAAGCACGUCAAAGUGCAAGUAGAUAAAUAGGUACCACUCCAGCGGGAAGGUAAACAGUGUUUCUGUGCGCUGCUCUGGUUCGCCAGAAGUGGCUUAGUCCUGCUGGCCACAUGACCCGGAAGCUGUAUGCCGGCUCCCUCGGCCAGUAAAGCGAGAUGAGCACCGCAACCCCAGAGUCGUCUGCGACUGGACCUAAUGGUCAGGGGUCCCUUUACCUUUACCUUAAGCUGUUCCGGGAGCCUUUUUGGCUGGAGAGCAAGAUGCAGACUCCAAAUAAAUAAAGAAGGGGUGCCCCUUUUAUUUUGGCCCCCUCCUCUUCACCCCCCAUCCUGUAUUUUGUCUCUGUGCCAUAUUUCUCUGCAGCUCCUCUCCCUGCAUUUUCCUGCCACCAUUCGCUCUCUCUUAAGAACGGCAGAGUUACGUUCCAAGAUCGUUCUCCCACCGGCAGCUGCUUAGAUUAACAUUAGCGAAACAUUGGAAAGCCUCCUGUUUGAAUUUGUUUGGUACCUGGAGAUCUGUUCAGCUGCUUUGAUGUUGGGGGUGGUGAGUGAGGAGGACGCACGCACAAAAUGAAAGCAUCAAGAAAAGCAAAAGAGUUGGACCAAUCUGUAGAAGCAAGGCAUCGUUUUACUGAAUUUGAUUCUGGCAAAGGAAACAAAUUCAUGCCACCUAUUUGUGGAUAACUCAACUUGGAUGAUGAUCUCAUCUUCAUCCCUUAUUUGGAUCCGAUUGCCUUUGUUACGGAAAUUACUGGAGGGGGCACAUCUUUAAAGUUAAAUAUUACAAAUAUUAUGCCUGAAUGUAUCCUUUCAACUUGACAGCUCAGGGAAGUUACCUAGCUUUAAAAAUAAUAUAAAAUCAUCUCCUUUCCCAGUUUCCUCCAUUCCAAAGCUAUUUUCCCCUUGAAAAAGAACUCCAGGAAGUUCCCAGAGGUGACAAUUGCUGGGCUCAUUGUUGGCCAAAUCUCAUCACCUGACUCACCUCAGGCUCCAGACAUGCAAAGGAACUUCUGUUGUACUUUUGGGUGGUGGGUACUUAAGACAUAUUUGUCUAUGCUGAUCUUAUACCUGAGUCUUGCCCUGCCAUGUCUGCUUAUGCUAAUCUGGUACCAAGGACUUGUCUGGACAUGUUUGCCAAGGUUAACCCCUCCCCUUCGAACUGUAUUCUGGGAUGUGGUGGGAAAGUUCAAAAGUCUUUGUCACCCCAUCCUCAGGGUUCAAAUUUGCUCUUUGAACCUAUUGCGCAAUAAACUUUGGUCUACAGCUAUUUGCUCCGGUUGGCUGGACUCCUUCCUUUAUUCCGCAGGGACCCACGGGCUCUGCCCGAUGAGCUGGGUGACUGAGCAGCCUCACGCCUAGAUUUUUCCGUAACACCUUCUUUCGUUGAGGACCUUGCAUCAGUUGCAUCGUAACUCUAAUUGGUUACCAAUCGGUUGAGUUACAUGGGAUUGUAGUUGUGGAAAGGAGUACGCCAAGGGUCAUAGUUCAGGGAUAUCCUACAGGUCGACCGCGAUCUACUAGUCAAUACACGGAGGUUUUGGUAGAUCACGGUCGAUCGCUGGCUCCUCCAUCCGGCCCCGGCCCCUUGCUCCACCCUCUAGAUCAUGAUACCAGAAGACGUAGCUCUCGCAGCGAGGCUGACUGUUUCAUUAGAAGAAGAGUUUGGAUUUGAUAUCCCACUUUAUCACUACCUGAAGGAAUCUCAAAGCGGCUAACCUUCUCCUUUCCCUUCCUCCCCCAGAACAAACACUCUGUGAGGUGUGUGAGGCUGAGAGACUUCAGAGAAGUGUUUAUACAGCAGCAAGAAUAUUAUUGGCCCAAAAAUGGAAGCAAGAAGAGUUACCGACGAUUGAAGAAUGGAGGAUGAAGUUAAUGGACUAUGCAGAAUUAGAUAAACUAAGAGGAAGGAUUCGAAACCGGCGAGACCAGAAAUUCACGGAAGACUGGAGUAAAUUUACGGACUAUUUGAAAAGUAGUUGUGAAGAACAGACGACGUUUGUAG